CGAACGGGUGAGUAACACGUGAGCAACCUGCCCUAGGCUUUGGGAUAACCCCGGGAAACCGGGGCUAAUACCGGAUAUGACCACAUGUCGCAUGGUGUGUGGUGGAAAGUUUUUCGGCCUGGGAUGGGCUCGCGGCCUAUCAGCUUGUUGGUGGGGUGAUGGCCUACCAAGGCGACGACGGGUAGCCGGCCUGAGAGGGCGACCGGCCACACUGGGACUGAGACACGGCCCAGACUCCUACGGGAGGCAGCAGUGGGGAAUAUUGCACAAUGGGCGGAAGCCUGAUGCAGCGACGCCGCGUGAGGGAUGACGGCCUUCGGGUUGUAAACCUCUUUCAGCAGGGACGAAGCGUAAGUGACGGUACCUGCAGAAGAAGCGCCGGCCAACUACGUGCCAGCAGCCGCGGUAAGACGUAGGGCGCGAGCGUUGUCCGGAUUUAUUGGGCGUAAAGAGCUCGUAGGCGGCUUGUCGCGUCGACCGUGAAAACCUGGGGCUCAACCCCAGGCCUGCGGUCGAUACGGGCAGGCUAGAGUUCGGUAGGGGAGACUGGAAUUCCUGGUGUAGCGGUGAAAUGCGCAGAUAUCAGGAGGAACACCGGUGGCGAAGGCGGGUCUCUGGGCCGAUACUGACGCUGAGGAGCG
Molecule: ribosomal RNA, 641 nt
Filed under: Micromonospora sp. I15A-00820
Lineage: Bacteria; Bacillati; Actinomycetota; Actinomycetes; Micromonosporales; Micromonosporaceae
Description: bacterial SSU rRNA
Rfam family: Bacterial small subunit ribosomal RNA
Source: RNAcentral